Molecule: long non-coding RNA, 1129 nt
Filed under: Gossypium raimondii (Peruvian cotton)
Lineage: Eukaryota; Viridiplantae; Streptophyta; Magnoliopsida; Malvales; Malvaceae
Description: long non-coding RNA (GRAI_LNC000267)
Source: RNAcentral
UGGUUAGAUGCGUGUUUGAGUCCGGGCUUGGUGGCGUUUGGUAUGUCCGAUGAACUUGAUGGAUUUGAAGAAGACUAGAGAAUGGCUGGAUGGUAACUGGAUGAUUUCGAUGGGCAUUUGGUCUCUUGUUUCACUGAUGCAAAGAAGGUGUUGAUUGUUUUGCUUUUGAAGGAAGGGGUUUUAGGCCUGGUUUGUUAUUUGUUUUUAUGUUUUAUGCUUUUGUUUGCUUCAUUUUCUGGUUUUGUUUUCUGUUUUGUGCAUUUUCUUUUUUAUUUUGAUUAUGUGCUUUUCAAGGCACCAUUUGGGUGACCAAUAAGGGAUGGUGUAGUGCCCCGAAAUCUUUAACUUUUGUUUUGGUUCAAUUUUGUCAAUAGUCGGUAUCUAGUUUAGUGGGUAAGUGUUUUUAAUGUGGGUUGAAGGUCAUUGGUUUGAGUCUUUGCGUGGGAAGGGGGUGUUUUUAUUUUGUUAAAUAUGGGGCUGCUUAGUUCGAGUCUCUGUUGUUUUGAUUUUCACAAUUUGUUCUUUGUUUCUUCUUUUUUUAUGUUUUGUUUUAUUUUUCUUCCAAGUCCCCACGCCGCCAUUCUUCUCUAGACUUGUUCUUGGAUUUUCUUUGUUUCUUUUUGUUCUUUCAUUCUUUCUUUUCACAACAUCGCUCCCAGUCCUUUUGUUGUGCAUUUCGUUCUCGACGUCAGUGGCUCGUGUAGGUGCUCUUGAAUCUUGUUUUUGUAUUGUAAGUGGGGUUUAUGCUUGCUGUUUUCUUUUCUUGUUUAAUUUUAGGUUGGAAGCAUUUUGCGUGUUAAUCAAUUGCGUUUUGGGUGAGGUUGGAGAGGCGAUUGAUCCCUUGGCGAUUUAGAAUUGUUGAUGAACUGCUGUUUUCUAGAAGAUGAGAAGUGCAUUUGAGGUUUAAUGUCAGAUAUUGAUGUUAGUACGUUGAAGUUAAUUUUGAAAACCGACUCUCUGUUUGACUAGUAUUUUUAAGUAAUUCUCAGACUUAAGCUGAUUGGUGUAAUCGGGAGCUCAGUUAAUGUCAUAAUCUAUUUGUUUUAUUUAAAUUUUGGUAUUUGGGUUCUGUAAAUUUUGGACUCUCUGGACUUUUUUUUUACUGUUUAGAUUUAAAACUUUGUUUUCG